GAUGAACGCUGGCGGCGUGCCUAAUACAUGCAAGUCGAGCGAACAGACGAGGAGCUUGCUCCUCUGACGUUAGCGGCGGACGGGUGAGUAACACGUGGAUAACCUACCUAUAAGACUGGGAUAACUUCGGGAAACCGGAGCUAAUACCGGAUAAUAUAUUGAACCGCAUGGUUCAAUAGUGAAAGACGGUUUUGCUGUCACUUAUAGAUGGAUCCGCGCCGCAUUAGCUAGUUGGUAAGGUAACGGCUUACAAAGGCAACGAUGCCUAGCCGACCUGUGAGGGUGCUCGGCCAAACUGCAUCUGAGACACGGUCCAGACUCCUACGGGUGGCAGCAGUAGGGAAUCUUCCGCAAUGGGCGAAAGCCUGACGGAGCAACGCCGCGUGAGUGAUGAAGGUCUUCGGAUCGUAAAACUCUGUUAUUAGGGAAGAACAAAUGUGUAAGUACCUAUGCACGUCUUGACGGUACCUAAUCAGAAAGCCACGGCUAACUACGUG
Molecule: ribosomal RNA, 497 nt
Filed under: uncultured bacterium
Lineage: Bacteria
Description: partial 16S ribosomal RNA
Rfam family: Bacterial small subunit ribosomal RNA
Source: RNAcentral